RNAcentral lists this long non-coding RNA (5255 nucleotides) under Nicotiana tabacum (common tobacco). Its description in RNAcentral is "long non-coding RNA (NTAB_LNC004667)". The record is from RNAcentral. Lineage: Eukaryota; Viridiplantae; Streptophyta; Magnoliopsida; Solanales; Solanaceae.
UGCUGCAUAAAAGCGAUUAACAAGCGCACACCUGGGUUAAGGCACAAGGCCUUUAGCAUGUGCAUCUUUCAAGCCAAAAAAGGGGGGUUUGGGGGGGGAUUAGGAUCCAGGAAAGGAAAAGGAAAUCUUCUGCAGGAGCAAAAGAGACAAACUCAUGAGACUUGAGAAGACAAUAGAGAACAAACAACUUGAGAAGAUCAUCAACGAUCUCAAACGGAAGAAGUGCAGGAAAGAGAGAUCUUCACAGAAUUCUUCUUUCUUCUAAUUCCUUUCUUUAUUUUUUUCUUUUGGUAAACAUUAGACUGCCUGCAUCUUUUUUUUCCUCUAUUUCUUUUCUUUUCUCUAUUGGGGAAAAUAGAGAAUCAAGUUCUGCUGCUAAGCCUCCAUUUCUUGUUUUCUUCUUCUCCUAGUGCGCUUCUUCUUUCUAUGGCCUGUGGAAGCCUCUGUCAUUUUUUUUUUCUUUUCGGGAAAGAGAUAACUAUUUAUAGUUAAGAGACAUAAAGUGAUUUGUCUUUUGAUGAUAAUCAGAAAACUCAAAAAACUUAAUUAAUAUACACCAAGAUGGUGUUAGGUUUAUUAUAAAAACAUUAAAUAGAAGGAUGCAUAAGCUCCCCAAGAACCAAGCUAAUCGUCUAUACAGUAAGGAACUUCCUGUUUAGACCAAAAGAGCACUAGGAAAAACAGAGGAUUAUAAUUUAACAAUGAAUGUCCAGUUCCCUCAAACGUUAUCAUACUCCUCUCUCUCUGCAUUUCUAGAAAUUUAUUGCACGGAGCGGUUCUCCAUAACUUUCUCCUAUCACAUUUAGCUUAUCCAAUCUCCAACUCACCAGUACUCUUUUCUCGAGAAAAAAACAAUGGAUGUUGAAAAUGAAGAACAUCAUGGCUCAUAGUUUUGUUGCAGACUUACAAUAGGUGAUCCACGCGUUCAUCAUGAUUUUUACACGUGAACACCAAUUGACCACUAUGCAUCUCCUUCUUCUUGGGUUGUUAAAAUUGGCUUUGAACUCAAGUAAGGUCGUUGAGUUGUUAAAAUUGCUCUCGACAUUGCAUACCAUGUAAAAAGUACCUCUUAGGUACCUCCAUUUUCCAUGUUGUUGACCAAAUGGAUAUUGUACACCUUCAUCAAGUAAGAAGUUAUAGAUGUCGUCAUGUCGUUACUUAAAAACAUUUUCAUUAGGAGCUAAAUUUGGAUUAGUAUAUAAAAGAUUUGGACUAGAGCAAGAAACUAGGUUAAAAUAAGUAUUAGGUUAGAGUGGAAUGAGAAUUUGAGAGUGAGCAGAGAAGUAGGAUUCCAAUCCUAAACCUAAACCUAAUAUAGGAGCAAGUGAAGAAUUAGGAUCCCAAUUUAACCCAAACCAUAGACGUAGUCCUUAUUCUAAUCUAAGUCCUAAUCCAAGUCCUUGUAGUAACACAGGUCUAAAUCCUAAACCUAAUAUUUGUUCCUAAUUCUAGCACCCAGUUCUACUUCUAAUUCUGAUCCUACUACUAUCAUGGGAAACUUACUCUAUUCAUCAGCUUCAGCUUUAGAAAAGCAGCUAUUUGGUCUGAAUGGAGCUCCAAACAAACUUGGUUCCAAAAGACAGCAUGACCCACAAAUAAUUACAGGACCAAAGCCGAUAAAAUCAGCACAUGUGAUACUAUGUGUGACUAAAGAUAAAAAAGUCAAAUUUUCUGAAGAUGGAAUUUCUCUCAUUCAUAAUGUUGUAACAUAGCCAUAGUUUCAUUUGGAGGCAGAAGCCAAUAUGGUAACCAACUACCCAUAUGGCAUUGUUUCAUGGAAUGUGAUUCACUCAAGAAUGAAUAUUAAUCUUCAAAAAAUGGAGUUUAGGCCUAUCUUAACUCCAAAAGCUAGCUAUGAGAAUUGCCCAAGCCCAUAAAAGGAGACAACAGUCCUUUCUCUCAACCAAUAUGGAAAAUUCUGACACUGCACCCUCCACCUAUGCCCCAGACCUGAACAUUGUGGAUAACAUAACAUGGGGGCCCAACAUUGAGAAACACAACAAUAAAGAUGAGUUUGGCUCUAAUACCAUGUAAAGAAAAUGGACCUUGGGCCUAAUUCAAUCUCAAAAGCUAGCUCAUGAGAUGAGAAUUGUCCCAAACCAAACAAGGAGAGAACAAUGUACUCCUUCAACGAAUAUCUAACAGAAACAAGAAAAGCACAUCUAUUUAAUGGCUUGUUAAUAUGAAUCCUAAUAGCAAUUACAACGAAAGUGUGAUGCGCCUCAUGUAUUAACAAAUAUUGACUAGAGCCAUUUCAAACCUUAAUUUCAUAUCAUGUAUAUGAAAGGAGAAAGAAAAAUAUAUAUCUUUGUUUCUUUAGGAACAAGCUCUGAGUGAGGUGACAUAACAAAUGUUAAGAUAUUUGAAAGAAAAAAAUUUAGUUGGGUGUUUGAUAUAUAAUCAAGUUAUAGUAUAUCAAAUAUACUCAAAGGGAAAGAGUAGCAUAUUCUCUUUAAAAGAUAUUUGAAAGAGAAGGAAGACCAAAGAACAUGAGGACCCAUACCUCAUGCAUGCUAAAAAGGUCUAAGAACGUAUAUUAAUAAUAUAGAUAAAUGAGAAAGUGAGGAUGAAGAAGCAAAAGUCUAUUUCUAUCCUAUGAGGCGGGGACAAGGGCACAAUUGUUUAAGGAACAAAAUAAAGCUGUAACAGAUAUAGGAAUGUCAUAAUUAUGAGACUGAGGUGGGAUAGUCAUUGUGAAGCGGUGUGCAUGAUUUAAAAAAUGAUGCAAAACAAAAGUAAAAUGCACCCUUGCCUGACACCAAAAGAUUUUUUAGCAUCAAGAGGGGGAUUUUUUCAUUAACUUAUUCUCCACCCCACCACUCCAAUCUUCCAUUAGUGAAAUGCGGUAAUUCAAACCACCCGACCUUUCCAAUCUUCUAUCCUGUGAACCAUCACGUGGAAUGGUACUAUUACCUCAAUCCUUGAAGGUCCAGAUGCAGCAGCUCCUAACUCCCAUCAGGGCUAACCACCUCCUAAUAACACAGAAAUUGUUAGCACUGUCACACCUACUCUGCAACUUCAUAAUACCAUGGUAAAGAAGUUUUCAGCUGUAAACCCCUAGAGACAAAAUUCUCAACCCCGUGGAUUUGGCAAUAAAAUACUUUGAGAUUCAUCAAGUACCUAAUACUAUGAAGAUAAGCUAUAUCCGGAUAGAUAUAAAAGGGGGGAUCCACCGAUAGUUUGACAGUUCUAUGAUAGAUUAUGGUGGGUAAUUUGUACGAAGACAUCAUUUGUGAUGUUUAUAGAAGGUCUGGAAACACUAGAUUUCUGGAUAGAGAUUGACAAAUUCAGUGAGCUCAGUAGGCCAAUGACGUGGAAGCUUAUCUAUAGAAGUUUGAAGAACUGAGGUCUUACAUGCUCAUUAAAAGACCCUUCAUUCAUGUGAAUCCAAUUCCUGUUUCAAUUAGAGACUAAUGCCUAGGAUAUUUAACCUAAUAGUACCUAUAAAAAAGAUAAGGAUAUCUAAUCCAACAAUUCUAACAGAUCGUAAGAAGGAGCAAAGUAGCACGAGGAAUCUAUCAAUGGGAUUAACAAACUUCUACUCCAUAGUCCAAUUACCCUCCAAUAACAAAUCUGAACACCAAGCACCUACACAACGGUUCCUCAGCCAUAUUUCCAUACUAUCGAGUCUUCCACUUACAAACCUUUUCAACUUUCUGUAACCUUACAUACAAUCGACCAAGAGAAUAGAAGUUAGAAGUACUUUAUCGAUGCAAGCAAAAACCCCUCAAUGCCAAUGAAGGAGGGGAUAGCAGAAAAUAUUGGGGAGGUUGAUGCAGAGGCAAUUCAAGAGAGCGUGACACUGAAUGGUGUCCACGGGUGUCAAAUUCCCCCAUGACCAUCCAAAUUGUUCGAACCACUAAGAGGUGGGCAUAAAAGCAGCUCAAAUUCAGGGUUAUUCUUGGCAAUAUGGCCAUGCAAGUUACUACGGGCAAUGAUCACAUUCACAGGACCUUAUGGUCAAAAAUUCAGUAAAUAUGUGUCAAUAAUAGCUUUCUAGAAAACAAUACGCACUUAUACAAGAAGCUGACCCACUUGAAAAUAAUGCAAACUAUACAUCAACUUGGGAGAAGACGUAAAACCUUAGAACGCACACAGCCCUAGAGCCAAACCUAAACAGGCAAUAGGCUGACACAUGACUUAUACCAUCAGCUACAAUCGAACUUGUUGAGAUAUGCAAGGUGAAUCUUUCAUUUUCAAUUUCAGAAUGCAUAAGGUUAACCUCAAGUUAGAAAUGGAUUGAUUGACCUCUAUUCCCCGAUUAUGUUAGACUUGUGACGUAACCAAGUGUCCUUCUGGUGAUGAUAAGGGAGAAUCAACGGGUACUAGGUGGGCUCACAGAAGGAAAUGGCUGCUUAAACUUUUUCAGCAAUGUGUUAUUCAAGUGUUCUCCAUUGCAACAGCCAACAAGUAUAUAAACUCUAUGAACUGACGGAGUAAAAAAGAUUUACACAAUGAAGUCACUUAAAAGGCAACAGCAGGUAGCUCUCUACACAAACAUAAAUUAGUAACCUUAAGAAAAUGGAAAGCAAUCUUCUAUAAGGUGAAAGUACACUGAUAAUGUAAAAUAUGUUUACACUGUAAGGGCAUAUAACUUAAACUCUUGCAACAAAGCUGAACAAAGAGAAUCCCCUAUAAUCUGUUUGAUUUCUAGUUUGUUAGAGUCAGUUAAAACUUAAAAAGAAUUUCUAGCUGGAGCAUGUCAGCUCUCGGCUCCAUAAAUUGAGGUUACAAUCACACGAACUUCCAUUUUAGCUUCUUAUAAUUGUUCCUUAUUUCUUUUACUCGCAAUCAGUAAUCACAAGUUCACAACAAUCACGUAUCCAUAUUGCUUCAUAAAUUCAUCCAUAAACAUUAAACUAAUGAGAUAAAAUAGAAUUUACCAUUUGUUGGUUCGGUUUCUGCUGAUUGAGGAAUUACAACUGAGGAACAACGACAUCAGUUAUCAACACUUUACCCCGUGUAAACACCUUAAAAUUGUAUCAUUUGCUUCUUAGAUUGCUCCAGUUUGGAGAGAGCGGCUGUUAUUGAACAACUUUUUUGGCUUUUUUUCUCGUUUUCUGAACUAAAAUGCGUUUUUCUUCGUUAAUGGCAUGAGGCCCAUUGCCCAAUUGUUGAGCGAUUGAUUCUGUUUUCAUUUUUCCUUCUUUCUUUUUUUUUUAGCCGCCAACCCCAUCGUUUGGUUUUAGGUAUCAAAACUCACUCUAAUGUCUGAACCAUAGAAAUAUGACUCUGAUUUAACUAUCAAAAUGCAC